This 253-nucleotide ribosomal RNA is filed under the name uncultured bacterium. RNAcentral's name for it is "partial 16S ribosomal RNA". It matches the Rfam family "Bacterial small subunit ribosomal RNA", at positions 524 to 776 of the family's 1533-position model. The record is from RNAcentral.
UACGAGUGCCCCAAGCGUUAUCCGGAAUCAUUGGGCGUAAAGGGUGUGUAGGUGGCGAUGUUAGUCUUCUGUCAAAUUUCCCGGCUUAACCGGGAACCUGCAGGGGAAACGGCAUUGCUUGAGUAUGUGAGGGGUGAAUGGAACUCAUGGAGUAGGGGUGAAAUCCGUUGAUAUCAUGGGGAACACCAAAAGCGAAGGCAAUUCACUGGCGCAUUACUGACACUGAAACACGAAAGCGUGGGUAGCGAACGGG